AACGAACGCUGGCGGCAUGCCUAACACAUGCAAGUCGAACGAAGGCUUCGGCCUUAGUGGCGCACGGGUGCGUAACGCGUGGGAAUCUGCCCUUUGGUUCGGAAUAACAGCUGGAAACGGCUGCUAAUACCGGAUGAUGACGAAAGUCCAAAGAUUUAUCGCCAGAGGAUGAGCCCGCGUUGGAUUAGGUAGUUGGUGGGGUAAAGGCCUACCAAGCCGACGAUCCAUAGCUGGUCUGAGAGGAUGAUCAGCCACACUGGGACUGAGACACGGCCCAGACUCCUACGGGAGGCAGCAGUGGGGAAUAUUGGACAAUGGGCGCAAGCCUGAUCCAGCAAUGCCGCGUGAGUGAUGAAGGCCCUAGGGUUGUAAAGCUCUUUUACCCGGGAAGAUAAUGACUGUACCGGGAGAAUAAGCCCCGGCUAACUCCGUGCCAGCAGCCGCGGUAAUACGGAGGGGGCUAGCGUUGUUCGGAAUUACUGGGCGUAAAGCGCACGUAGGCGGCUUUGUAAGUCAGAGGUGAAAGCCUGGAGCUCAACUCCAGAACUGCCUUUGAGACUGCAUCGCUUGAAUCCAGGAGAGGUCAGUGGAAUUCCGAGUGUAGAGGUGAAAUUCGUAGAUAUUCGGAAGAACACCAGUGGCGAAGGCGGCUGACUGGACUGGUAUUGACGCUGAGGUGCGAAAGCGUGGGGGAGCAAACAGG
Molecule: ribosomal RNA, 703 nt
Filed under: uncultured Alphaproteobacteria bacterium
Lineage: Bacteria; Pseudomonadati; Pseudomonadota; Alphaproteobacteria
Description: bacterial SSU rRNA
Rfam family: Bacterial small subunit ribosomal RNA
Source: RNAcentral